GAUGAACGCUGGCGGCGUGCCUAAUACAUGCAAGUCGAGCGAACAGACGAGGAGCUUGCUCCUCUGACGUUAGCGGCGGACGGGUGAGUAACACGUGGAUAACCUACCUAUAAGACUGGGAUAACUUCGGGAAACCGGAGCUAAUACCGGAUAAUAUAUUGAACCGCAUGGUUCAAUAGUGAAAGACGGUUUUGCUGUCACUUAUAGAUGGAUCCGCGCCGCAUUAGCUAGUUGGUAGGUAACGGCUUACCAAGGCAACGAUGCGUAGCCGACCUGAGAGGGUGAUCGGCCACACUGGAACUGAGACACGGUCCAGACUCCUACGGGAGGCAGCAGUAGGGAAUCUUCCGCAAUGGGCGAAAGCCUGACGGAGCAACGCCGCGUGAAUGAUGAAGGUCUUCGGAUCGUAAAACUCUGUUAUUAGGGAAGAACAAAUGUGUAAGUAACUAUGCACGUCUUGACGGUACCUAAUCAGAAAGCCACGGCUAACUACGUG
Molecule: ribosomal RNA, 496 nt
Filed under: uncultured bacterium
Lineage: Bacteria
Description: partial 16S ribosomal RNA
Rfam family: Bacterial small subunit ribosomal RNA
Source: RNAcentral